UACGAAGGGGGCUAGCGUUGCUCGGAAUUACUGGGCGUAAAGGGCGCGUAGGCGGCCAUCUAAGUCAGACGUGAAAUCCCCCGGCUUAACCUGGGAACUGCGUCUGAUACUGGACGGCUUGAGUAUGGGAGAGGGAUGUAGAAUUCCAGGUGUAGCGGUGAAAUGCGUAGAUAUCUGGAGGAAUUCCGGUGGCGAAGGCGGCAUCCUGGACCAUUACUGACGCUGAGGCGCGAAAGCUAGGGGAGCAAACGGG
RNAcentral lists this ribosomal RNA (253 nucleotides) under uncultured bacterium. RNAcentral's name for it is "partial 16S ribosomal RNA". It matches the Rfam family "Bacterial small subunit ribosomal RNA", at positions 524 to 776 of the family's 1533-position model. The record is from RNAcentral.